Molecule: ribosomal RNA, 421 nt
Filed under: uncultured bacterium
Lineage: Bacteria
Description: bacterial SSU rRNA
Rfam family: Bacterial small subunit ribosomal RNA
Source: RNAcentral
AGAAUCUUUCGCAAUGGGCGCAAGCCUGACGAAGCGACACCGUGUGAACGAAGAAGGCCUUCGGGUUGUAAAGUUCUUUCGCCUGGGGACAAGUUUAUGGAAGGAUAAUUUUCAUAGAUUGAGGGUACCAGGUAAAGAAGCACCGGCUAACUCCGUGCCAGCAGCUGCGGUAAUACGGAGGGUGCAAGCGUUAAUCGGAUUUACUGGGCGUAAAGGGCGCGUAGGCGGGCUGAGAAGUCAGGUGUGAAAUUUCAUGGCUCAACCAUGGAGCUGCACUUGAAACUUUUAGUCUAGAGGAUAGAGUGGGGAAAGCGGAAUUCCACAUGUAGCGGUGAAAUGCGUAGAUAUGUGGAGGAACACCGGUGGCGAAGGCGGCUUUCUAACCUAUGCCUGACGCUGAGGCGCGAAAGCGUGGGGAUCA